RNAcentral lists this ribosomal RNA (255 nucleotides) under uncultured bacterium. Its description in RNAcentral is "partial 16S ribosomal RNA". It matches the Rfam family "Bacterial small subunit ribosomal RNA", at positions 96 to 353 of the family's 1533-position model. The record is from RNAcentral.
UGGCGGACGGGUGAGUAAUGUCUGGGAAACUGCCUGAUGGAGGGGGAUAACUACUGGAAACGGUAGCUAAUACCGCAUAACGUCGCAAGACCAAAGAGGGGGACCUUCGGGCCUCUUGCCAUCGGAUGUGCCCAGAUGGGAUUAGCUAGUAGGUGGGGUAACGGCUCACCUAGGCGACGAUCCCUAGCUGGCUGAGAGGAUGACCAGCCACACUGGAACUGAGACACGGUCCAGACUCCUACGGGAGGCAGCAUG